UUUUUCUUUUUUUUUUUUUGUCUUUUUGCCAUUUCUUGGGCCGCUCCCACGGCAUAUGGAAGUUCCCAGGCUAGGGGUCCAAUCGGAGCUGCUGCCGCCGGCCUACACCAGAGCCACAGCAACGCAGGAUCUGAGCCUCGUCUGUGACCUACACCACAGCUCACGGCAACGCUGGAUCAUUAACCCACUGAGCAAGGGCAGGGACCGAACCCACAACCUCAUGAUUCCUAGUCGGCUUCGUUAACCACUGCGCCACGACGGGAACGCCUACGUUUUUCUUUUUUAUCUCUCCCACUAAGCACUCCCAGGAAUGCAUUAGCUGUUCCUAGGAAAAAGUAAUAUCUUUGAAAUAUGGAAGACUGAAAACGAUAAAAUGUGAAAUAAUAAUGAUAAACAUAUAAACAGUAGCCUCCUGGGGGAAAAGGUACUUUCGUUGUUUUUCUAUUACCGCCAUAUAUAAGGUAUAAGCCUCAGAGAAAGGACAUGCCUAUGAUUCUGGUUAGAUAAGUUCUCUCUUUGAACACCUAUUCCAACAACUUUUGUGCUAUUAUGCCAUUUAUAGAAAUGAGGAAAAAAGCAUUGUGCAUUAAAUUAAGAUACAGCUGCAUGUGAAUUCACUUUCAGAUUGUUUUAUUCCUUUGUGGCAUAUGACAUUCUUAUCAUUAAUUACCAGAUAAAUAUUAAAUGUAUGCUUGCCUUAAGAACUACCAUAUUUAAGGUGCCUCCCAAAACUGGGCAGGGCAGUACUUUGCAUUUUUAAUUACACUUAGGGAAAAAUUUCAGGAAACCAAGUAGCAAAGAGAGGCCCAAAGACUUUAUUCCCCCUUUGCUCUCUACCACGUGCAGUACAAAUAGUCCUCAGGUCAUUAAAAUCCACAUUGCUCCUGCACUCCUUAGGAAGGAGGUUUGCUUCCAUUACUGAAGGCUCUCUGAACAGCAGAGUAAUAGACAACAGAGGAAUUGCUUCAAAAACAACCAAGGCUUUGUACAGAAAGCCCAGGUGACCCCACUGUACAGGGCAGAGGUGUACGGUGACUUUCCCCAUGGAAGAAAUUAUGACUCUUUGUGAUAGUCUAUGUUUCAGGUGUCCAACUGUAGUUCACCUUAUUUUAAGACACUGAUGGGCAGUGAAUUGCCUGGUGGCCUAGAGGGUUAAGGAUUUGGUGGUGUUGUCACUGCACUGGCACAGGUUUGAUUCCUAGCCCAGGAAUUUUCACAUGAUACAGGUGCGAGGGGGGAAAAAAAAAGACACUGACAGCCAAGUAUUAUCAUGUUCAUCAUAAAAACAUAAAAAGAAUAAGAAUAAUUUCCAAACAAAGAGAACACUUAACAACAGGUUACAAAAUACAAUGGGGUCUCCUUCAUUUUAUUCCUUUUCUACGAAACGGUCACCAACUAUUUGUUCAUUGGCUUCUCAUGAGAAGAAAAAUGCAGGGAAUCUUCUCAGGAGUGUUAUAUAACUAUAUCAAACAAGAGGAGGGAGUGUGUGUGAAAGACCCCUUAAAACAGAAUUCAGCAGAAUAGGAAGGAUGAAAAGAGAAUUAUUGAAAAGCAUAUAUUCCAAAGAUACUGUGUGAAAUGUUUUACUAAACACUUAUUUUGUACUGUCUUACAGUUUUAGGCAUACUUUAGCUCCAUUCUUGCAUUAUUUUGCUUAGUGAUGGCCCCUAAAAAAAAACAGUUUUCAGGAUUUCUGCCUUUCCUCCUCCUUGCUUUUGCAAAGCAGUUUAUCACUUACUAGCCAAGACUUAAAUGCAUCAAGGGAAGCAAUAAACAAUUUUGCAAAACAAAGCUACACUUUUUAUAAUGUGAAUCCUCACAAUUUAUGUAAUUAACAUUAAUAAGACUAAACAGAAAUGUAAUUUAUACUCAAGUCAUUUCAGAUAUCAUUACUUAAAAUUAUAGUUCAACUAUUGUACUGAAAUUAGUUAAUUAUUUCCAAAAACUCUGGAGAGCUACUGAUGGUUUGACUCUAAUAUGUGGAAGGGAAUUCCUACAGAGAGCUCAUUUUGGAUCCAAUGAAUUUCUCCUGGGAUCUUAAUAGAUAGAAAACAUAAGCUGAUUUUGUAUUUUCUUAAUUUUAUCCUGUCAUUAAAAAACAAUUAAGUUAUCUUUUUUAUGUGGAGUCCGAUAGUGUUUUCAGUGUAUGUGAGUGAGUGAGUGAAUGUGUGUUUAAGGAAAGGGUAGAGGGAAGGAGAAAAUACAUGCAUUAUAAAAACACGAGAAACAGAACACUCAUUUUCAGACUAUGGGCAAAAAGGUGAUUUUAGAAAAUAAACAAUAAGACUUUGAGCAAGUUUUAUCUUAUUUGAUUUUCUUUCUAAAGACUCCAACAUUUAUACUGUCAAAUACAAUUUUUAAGAGCUUUCCUAUAGGACUAUAGAAAAAUUUGGGAAAUAGUAUAUAUAUGUGUGUGUGUGUGUCUAUACACACACACACACACACACACACACACAUAUAUAUUAUAUAAUAUUAUUUCAAGGUAUGCAAAAAUGUUUUCAUUUUGUUAGCCUUAAAAGCACUUUAGAGCUUAUACUGGGUUUUUUUCUUUUUGAGAACUUAAGUGCAGAAAAAAAGCAUUAUAUAUAACAGAUAGCAAUUUGUAUUUAUUUAUAUUUUUUAUUGCUUUUUGGUUUUGUUUUAUUGCAAGGCUAUAAUAUUAUGAUGUCAACAAAUUAUAAUAUUAUGAUUUCAUCUGUGAAAAAAUUUAUUUUAUUAACCAAUACCAUUUAUUGCAAGACUAUAAUAUUAUGAUGUCAACAGACUAUAAUAUUAUGAUUUCAUCUGUGAAAAAAUUUAUUAAUCAAUAGCAUUUUGUAUUGUUAUAAGAAAAACUCCUUUGAAAAUAAUGGCCAAAGGAAUCUCCUUUGAAAAUAAUGGCCAAAGGUAAAAUCAUAGUAUAGUGUCCCAAAGAAAAAGAGUAAUUUCUGGUUUGAUAAAAUAUCUACCAUAUAACCCAGAAGAGCAAAUGGAUUUAGCAUCAUAGAAUAACGUCAGUAUAUUUUUGACUCUUCUUUUUUACUUUGUGGUUAAGAAAAAAAAAUAUGGAAGCUAAACAACUAAUUAUUUGAGUACUUGCUCACACACAAAUAUUGAUCGCUUUCCCCACAUUUAUUAAUAUACCAAAUAAUUGGUCAAUAUGAAUCUUAGGCCAUUGUUCUUCAUAUACAACCAGUACCCUCUGAAUCAUUAAGGAAAUAACUAUUAAACUAUUGUGGUGAUAUCCCGGUUGAGAGAAAAUGUUUAAGAAUAAGGAAGCCUGGACUUGGGUCUAGACCUCUCCUUGUAAAACCAGCUGUGUCAAGUCUUACAUACUAAACUCUGCAAGCCACACAAGUUCCAUACAUCUCAAAGUCAAACCAGUCAAAAGUCUAAUUAUAAACUCUAUGUGAAUUUCAUGGGGGAUUAGCUUAUUUUUGUGUGGUUUUUUUUUUUGGGGGGGUGGGCAUGUCUUCCAAAAUGAUCUCAUAAGAUUAUUUCUACUCUCCCUUUUUUGAGAGAGUGUGUAAGAGGACUAGCCCUGGCUACUUGGAAUGUAUUAACAGAAUUAUGCAUUUCAUCGGUAAGUCAUAAAACCCUAAGAACAUAGAGCUUUUCUUCUUCUCAAAAAGGGAAACUUUUUACCUGUUUUUCUAUCCUGGACAUACUCCCAGACCAUUUUAUCUCUGCACAGUCUUUCUUUUUUUACUCAUCGGUGAUCUCUCUUUUGAGUGUUGUUUGCUAAGUUUGAUAAUUUUUUUCUUCUGCCUAUAAAAACUUUAAGAUUUUUAUUGAGAAUAUAGAUUGAGAAAUUGAGUAGAGCAUUGAAGAUAAUCAUUUCAAUGAAUCUUACAGAGUUAUUUCAAUAAUGCAAGAUUUUCUAAUGAAUUUGAUCCCUGACUUGGAGUAAUCAUCAAAAACUACAAAAUCAGUUAAUAGCAGACUCAAAAACCUACAAGAAUUAAAAUAUGUUACAUCCAAAGAAAAAAUGAUAUAUAUGCACAAUGGAAUACUACUCAGCCAUAAAAAGGAGGAAACUUCACAAUUUGAGACAAUACAGAUGGUCCUUGAGGGUAUUAUGUUAAGGGAAAUAAGUCAGACAGUAAAAGAUGAGUACUACACAAUACAAAAAAAAAAAAAAAAAAAAAAAAACCUCACAGACACAGAGAACAGAUUGGUGGUGCCCAGAACAUGGUUUAAGGGGUGAGAAAAAUGGGUAAAGUUGGUCAAAAGGUACAAACUUCCAGUUAUAGAAUAAGUAAGUCCUAAAGAUGUAAUGUACAGCAUGGUGACUGUAACUAAUAAUACUAUAUUGUAUUUUUGAAAGUUGCUAAGGGAAUAUAUCUUAAAAGUUCUCCUCACAAGAAAAAAAUAUUUAAGGAGUUCUCCUGUGAUUAAGGAUUUGAUAUUGUCACUGCAGUGGCUUGAGUCACUGCUGUGGCACAGAUUUGAUAUCCCUGGCCCAGGAAAUUUCACAUGCUGCAGGCAUGGAAAAAAAAAAAAAAUCUGUGAAAAUCUAUAGGGGAAAAAAAUCUGAAAAGGAAUGGAUGUGUGUGUAGAUAUAUAACUGAAUCACUUUGUUGAAUGGCAGAAAUUAUGCCAUGGUAAAUCAACCAUAAUUCAAUAAAACAAAAAAAAGAAAAAAGAAAUUAUGAAUGACACCAUAAUAGUUAGCAAAUCAAAUAUGUAUCUAAUUAAAAUUUUACAAAGAAGGAAGAAAAAUUAUAGGACACAGGCAAUAUUUUUUAAAAAAAUCACUGCUAAAGAAUGAUGAAAGCCUCCAAUCCACAGAUUAAGUAAUCCACUGACUUCUAUACAGGUAAAAUAUAAAUAAACCUAUACCUACUCAUAUUGUAUUGAAAUUACAUUAGAACACCAAAACUAAUGAAAAAGAGUGAAAAUAGGCCAGGGAGAAAAGACCCUCAAGGGCGCACCAAUUGGACUGCCAGUUACAUCUCAAAAAAUAAAUAAGUAAAUAAAUAAAAUAAACAUUAAAAAAACAAGAAAUCAUAAAAUAGUGCAGUGGCAUCUUCAUUGUUGAGUGAAAAUAAUUAUCAUUCUAUUAUACCCAGCAAAAAUAUCUUUAAAUAACAAGGACACAAAGUUAAAGUAUUUCCUAAGUAAUUAAUAAAUUCAUCUCCAUGAAACCUUCACUAGAAAAUCCUAUAAAGAUUUAUUCAGGCAGGUAGACAUUCAUAUAAAAAGGAAGGUCUGAGAAGUAGAAAGAAAUGGAGUAGGGGAAGAACCCCACUAAUUCAUAAUAAUAAGGCUUUAAUUCUCCAGGAAAAUAUUCAAAUUCUGAACACAUAUGCAUAACAUGUGUCCUCAAAAUACAUAAAGCAAAAUUUGAAAAAAUUACAAAGAGAAAUAGAAAACUCUACAGUCAUGAGGGGAG
Molecule: long non-coding RNA, 5374 nt
Filed under: Sus scrofa (pig)
Lineage: Eukaryota; Metazoa; Chordata; Mammalia; Artiodactyla; Suidae
Description: lncRNA (ENSSSCG00030002513.1)
Source: RNAcentral